This 600-nucleotide ribosomal RNA is filed under the name uncultured bacterium. Its description in RNAcentral is "bacterial SSU rRNA". The stretch from base 1 to 460 matches the Rfam family "Bacterial small subunit ribosomal RNA", at positions 78 to 539 of the family's 1533-position model. The record is from RNAcentral.
CUUUUGCCGGCGAGCGGCGGACGGGUGAGUAAUGCUGGAAAUUGCCCAGUCGAGGGGGAUAACAGUUGGAAACGACUGCUAAUACCGCGUACGCCCUACGGGGGAAAGCAGGGGACCUUCGGGCCUUGCGCGAUUGGAUAUGCCCAGGUGGGAUUAGCUAGUUGAUGAGGUAAUGGCUCACCAAGGCGACGAUCCCUAGCUGGUCUGAGAGGAUGAUCAGCCACACUGGAACUGAGACACGGUCCAGACUCCUACGGGAGGCAGCAGUGGGGAAUAUUGCACAAUGGGGGAAACCCUGAUGCAGCCAUGCCGCGUGUGUGAAGAAGGCCUUCGGGUUGUAAAGCACUUUCAGCGAGGAGGAAAGGUCAGUACUAAUAUCUGCUGGCUGUGACGUUACUCGCAAAGAAGCACCGGCUAACUCCGUGCCACAGCCGCGGGUUAAUUACGGGAGGGGGUGGCCAAGGCCGGUUUAAUUCGGGAAAAUUUACUGGGGGGGCGGUUAAAAGGCGCACCGCAGGGCCGGUUGGAAUUAAGUUAGAAUUGUUGAAAAGCCCCCGGGGGCUCCAAACCCUGGGGGAAAUUGGGCUUUUUAAAACUUGU